AGAGUUUGAUCCUGGCUCAGGACGAACGCUGGCGGCGUGCCUAACACAUGCAAGUCGAACGGGGUAAAGACUUCGGUUUUUACUUAGUGGCGAACGGGUGAGUAACGCGUGAGAAACCUGCCUUUCAGUGGGGGACAACAGUUGGAAACGACUGCUAAUACCGCAUAAUGUUAUUUGGGGGCAUCCCUGAAUAACCAAAGAUUUAUUGCUGAAAGAUGGUCUCGCGUCUGAUUAGCUAGAUGGCGGGGUAACGGCCCACCAUGGCGACGAUCAGUAGCCGGUCUGAGAGGAUGAACGGCCACAUUGGGACUGAGAUACGGCCCAGACUCCUACGGGAGGCAGCAGUGGGGAAUAUUGGGCAAUGGGGGAAAGCCUGACCCAGCAACGCCGCGUGAAGGAAGAAGGCCUUCGGGUUGUAAACUUCUUUUACCAGGGACGAAGAACGUGACGGUACCUGGAGAAAAAGCAACGGCUAACUACGUGCCAGCAGCCGCGGU
This 497-nucleotide ribosomal RNA is filed under the name uncultured bacterium. RNAcentral describes it as "bacterial SSU rRNA". It matches the Rfam family "Bacterial small subunit ribosomal RNA", at positions 8 to 521 of the family's 1533-position model. The record is from RNAcentral.